RNAcentral lists this ribosomal RNA (251 nucleotides) under uncultured prokaryote. Its description in RNAcentral is "partial 16S rRNA". It matches the Rfam family "Bacterial small subunit ribosomal RNA", at positions 525 to 775 of the family's 1533-position model. The record is from RNAcentral.
ACGGAGGGUGCGAGCGUUAUUCGGAAUCACUGGGCGUAAAGCGCACGUAGGCGGUGUCGUAAGUCGGAUGUGAAAGCCCUCGGCUCAACCGGGGAACUGCAUUCGAUACUGCGAGUCUAGAGUGUAGUUGAGGGUGGCGGAAUUCCUGGUGUAGGGGUGAAAUGCGUAGAUAUCUGGCGGAACACCAGUGGCGAAGGCAGCCACCUGAGCGAUAACUGACGCUGAGGUGCGAAAGCGUGGGGAUCAAACAG